Molecule: ribosomal RNA, 40 nt
Filed under: Trogia venenata
Lineage: Eukaryota; Fungi; Basidiomycota; Agaricomycetes; Agaricales; Porotheleaceae
Description: partial 18S ribosomal RNA
Source: RNAcentral
GUGUAACAAGGUUUCCGUAGGUGAACCUGCGGAAGGAUCA